UACGGAAGGCAGCAGUGGGGAAUAUUGCACAAUGGGCGCAAGCCUGAUGCAGCCAUGCCGCGUGUAUGAAAAAGGCCUUCGGGUUGUAAAGUACUUUCAGUCGUGAGGAGGGUGUUAAGGUUAAUAACCUUAGCAAUUGACGUUAGCGACAGAAGAAGCACCGGCUAACUCCGUGCCAGCAGCCGCGGUAAUACGGAGGGUGCGAGCGUUAAUCGGAAUUACUGGGCGUAAAGGGCACGCAGGCGGUUAAUUAAGUUGGAUGUGAAAUCCCCGGGCUUAACCUGGGAAUGGCAUUCAAGACUGGUUAGCUAGAGUCUUGUAGAGGGGGUAGAAUUCCAUGUGUAGCGGUGAAAUGCGUAGAGAUGUGGAGGAAUACCGGUGGCGAAGGCGGCCCCUGGACAAAGACUGACGCUCAUGUGCGAAAGCUGGGGAGCAAACAGGGAUUAGAUA
RNAcentral lists this ribosomal RNA (450 nucleotides) under uncultured bacterium. RNAcentral describes it as "bacterial SSU rRNA". It matches the Rfam family "Bacterial small subunit ribosomal RNA", at positions 340 to 784 of the family's 1533-position model. The record is from RNAcentral.